AGCUUUGAAUUUAAUUCUUGCUCCAUCGUCAGCUACUCCUUCUCCCCACCAACGCCAACAUUUCAACCUAAAAUACGCAUAUAUGUUUUUAUCUGUGUUUUAUAUAUGAAACACUAUUACCUUCCCUUUUUUCUCCCCCUAGAAAAUCAGGGGUUUCAGCCCCUGCAAACGUCGCCCCCAAGAUUCAAGUUUUAACAGGAGAACCAGAGAGAACCAUCACACAUUAGAUCAGAUUUUCUUAAUAUAAUCCUCUUACUUUUUCCUUUUUCUUUGAGAGACCAACCUGGUAAAGCCAAUCCAUAUGCCAAAAAGAAACAAACGCAAAUGAGUCCUUUUACAUAGUUACAUGCAUGAAUGAAAAAAAUGAAAAGACAAACACACAUACACACACACACACACAUAUAUGUGUGUGUGUGUGUGCAAAAAGGUAUGAACUUUAAAUUUAUCUCUUUUUUUCCUCAAAACCCUAGAAAGCUAAGCUGAGACAAAUCAGAAAGACUUCAGGUAUGAAUGGCAUGGAUGAGGAGUUGUAAUGCUGGAUGAAAUUAUGGGGAUUGAAGAACACAUUGAAUUGAAUAAUGGGUACCUUUUCAUUUCAUUGCAUUUGCAUUACCGAUCAAUUGCCCUGAAGAUCAAUUCUUUUUCUUCUUUCUUUAAACUGAUGAACAAUUUUAUUAGCCUCGAAAUUGUGUGAAUAAUAAUGGCAUAAAAUGUAUAGGGCCCGAAAAGUAGGAAAAGCUGAGAAGGACAUGCUGCCUAUGAUUGGGGAGCCCUUCAAAAAUGGCAUCAGUUACAUUGCAUGCUCCCAUGGCUUUUGGUUGUGAGUUGUGAUUCAGAAUAUCGGGGGUUUCAUUGGAUAUUCCAAUUUAGGUUCAUCUUUUUGUUUGAAG
Molecule: long non-coding RNA, 890 nt
Filed under: Nicotiana tabacum (common tobacco)
Lineage: Eukaryota; Viridiplantae; Streptophyta; Magnoliopsida; Solanales; Solanaceae
Description: long non-coding RNA (NTAB_LNC010889)
Source: RNAcentral